CCAAGCCUCCUCCUCUACUCCAAGCCUCCAACUCUGCCCACUCCAUAUCGCCGUCUGCCCAGUCCCCCGUUGCCGUCUCCCACUCCUUCACUCCCAGACAGCGAAGCUCCAGUCGGCUGUCCAGGAAGGUCACCAUCGCCGUCUCUCACACCAGUGCUCUCGGUUGCCGCCUCUCGCCGUUGCCUCUGCUCGAAUGCCUCUCGUCGUUGCCUCUGCUCGAACGCCUCUCGCCGUUGCCUUUGCUCGAACGCCUCUCGCCGUUGCCUCUGCUCGAAGUCCAGUCCACUCGCCGUCGCCGUCUCCCACUCCGCACUCCAAGACUCCAGGUCGUCGUCGCCGUCUCUCACUCCAUGACUCCAAUGCUGCUUAGAUAGGUGUCUACUAUGGGAACCCUGAAGUCACUAGUGGAGGAAUUGCAUUGAAGUUUUUUGCAUCAGUCCGACUUGAAAUCCGUCCUAUUGGGAAGAUAAAGUCUGCCAAAGGAGAUGAAGAAGUCGGAUUGAGGGUGCGUGUAAGAGUUCAAAAGAGUAAGUGAUGCAGCACAAGUGAUUGGACUUAUGCACAAGCAGAAUUAAAGAGACGGCUGGGAAGAAAGUUUUUGAUUUAUGCAAGUUCUUGCAACACAUAUACCAAAACAUUUACUGGGAUUGAUGGAGCUGGAAAACGACUGGCAGAUGAAGUGAGUGUGUAAAUGAAUUGGUGUAUUUAUGAACCUUGGAAAUUGGGCUUUGUUGGUGCAGCUAGUUGUGUUAAUGUGUAAAAAUUUAUAUAAAUGGUUAUGGCAUCUAAAUCUUCUAUCUUUCAGCUUUUAAUCAAAGGCAGAGAGCCUAAAUGGUUAUGGCAUAUAAUUUUUGUAAUUGUAAUUUCAUACUUGUUUGUAUUGAGAGUUACCGUGUGCAAUAAGGAAUAUUAUUGUUUUGUUUU
Long non-coding RNA from Ipomoea triloba (trilobed morning glory), 924 nucleotides. RefSeq lists it as uncharacterized. NCBI's taxonomy places the organism in Eukaryota, Viridiplantae, Streptophyta, Magnoliopsida, Solanales, Convolvulaceae. The transcript has 5 exons. The record is from RefSeq and is a predicted model, not a curated record.